Molecule: ribosomal RNA, 379 nt
Filed under: uncultured eukaryote
Lineage: Eukaryota
Description: partial 18S ribosomal RNA
Rfam family: Eukaryotic small subunit ribosomal RNA
Source: RNAcentral
CAAUAGCGUAUAUUAAAGUUGUUGCAGUUAAAAAGCUCGUAGUUGGAUUUCUGAUGAGAGUACGGGUCGGCCUUAACGGGUUGCACUGUUGUUACGUCUCGUCGUUUCGAGGUGAAUGGGUUCGCUAUUAGGUUAGUGGGCUCGGGAACCUUGUCGUUUACUGUGAAAAAAUUAGAGUGUUCAAAGCAGGCCUUUGCUGUGAAUACAUUAGCAUGGAAUAAUAAGAUAGGACUGUAGUGCUAUUUUGUUGGUUUGCGUACUAUGGUAAUGAUUAAUAGGGAUAGUUGGGGGUAUUCAUAUUCAAUUGUCAGAGGUGAAAUUCUUGGAUUUAUGGAAGAUGAACUACUGCGAAAGCAUUUACCAAGGAUGUUUUCAUUAA